AGGAAGUAAAAGUCGUAACAAGGUCUCCGUUGGUGAACCAGCGGAGGGAUCAUUACUGAGUUUACGCUCUAUAACCCUUUGUGAACAUACCUAUAACUGUUGCUUCGGCGGGUAGGGUCUCCGUGACCCUCCCGGCCUCCCGCCCCCGGGCGGGUCGGCGCCCGCCGGAGGAUAACCAAACUCUGAUUUAACGACGUUUCUUCUGAGUGGUACAAGCAAAUAAUCAAAACUUUUAACAACGGAUCUCUUGGUUCUGGCAUCGAUGAAGAACGCAGCGAAAUGCGAUAAGUAAUGUGAAUUGCAGAAUUCAGUGAAUCAUCGAAUCUUUGAACGCACAUUGCGCCCGCCAGCAUUCUGGCGGGCAUGCCUGUUCGAGCGUCAUUUCAACCCUCAAGCUCUGCUUGGUGUUGGGGCCCUACAGCUGAUGUAGGCCCUCAAAGGUAGUGGCGGACCCUCCCGGAGCCUCCUUUGCGUAGUAACUUUACGUCUCGCACUGGGAUCCGGAGGGACUCUUGCCGUAAAACCCCCAAUUUUCCAAAGGUUGACCUCGGAUCAGGUAGGAAUACCCGCUGAACUUAAGCAUAUCAAUAAGC
This 593-nucleotide ribosomal RNA is filed under the name Colletotrichum siamense. RNAcentral describes it as "eukaryotic LSU rRNA". The stretch from base 228 to 381 matches the Rfam family "5.8S ribosomal RNA". The record is from RNAcentral. Lineage: Eukaryota; Fungi; Ascomycota; Sordariomycetes; Glomerellales; Glomerellaceae.